Molecule: ribosomal RNA, 916 nt
Filed under: uncultured archaeon
Lineage: Archaea
Description: bacterial SSU rRNA
Rfam family: Archaeal small subunit ribosomal RNA
Source: RNAcentral
UUCGGUUGAUCCUGCCGGAGGUCACUGCUAUUGGAGUUCGAUUAAGCCAUGCGAGUCAAUAGUUCUUCGUGAACUAGGCGGACUGCUCAGUAACACGUGGGUAAUCUACCCUCGGGUCAGGGACAACCCCGGGAAACUGGGGAUAAUACCUGAUAGGUGAAGUGGUCUGGAAUGAUACUUCGCCUAAAGCUCCGGCGCCCGAGGAUGAGCCUGCGGCCGAUUAGGUUGUUGGCGGUGUAAAGGACCACCAAGCCUGUGAUCGGUACGGGUGGUGAGAGCCAUAGCCCGGAGAUGGGGGCUGAGACACGGCCCCAGGCCCUACGGGGCGCAGCAGGCGCGAAAACUACGCAAUGCGCGAAAGCGUGACGUGGGAACUCCAAGUGCCUUGCCUUCGGGUAAGGCUUUUGUGCAGUGUAAGUAGCUGCACGAAUAAGAGCGGGGUAAGACCGGUGCCAGCCGCCGCGGUAACACCGGCCGCUCAAGUGGUGACCGCUUUUAUUGGGCCUAAAGCGUUCGUAGCCGGUCCGGUAAGUCCUUGGGUAAAUCCUUCGGCUUAACCGAAGGAAUUCCGAGAAUACUGCUGGACUUGGAGUUGAGAGAAGUCGGAGGUACCUCCGGGGUAGGGGUGAAAUCCUAUAAUCCUGGGGGGACCACCAGUGGCGAAGGCGUCCGACUAGAGUAAGCUCGACGGUGAGGGACGAAAGCCAGGGGCGCGAACGGGAUUAGAUACCCCGGUAGUCCUGGCCGUAAACGCUGCGCGCUAGGUGUUACGUCCUCUACGAGGGGACGUAGUGCCGAAGAGAAGUUGAUAAGCGUGCCGCCUGGGAAGUAUUACCGCAAGGUAGAAACUUAAAGGAAUUGGCGGGGGGGCACCACAAGGGGUGGAGUCUGCGGUUCAAUUGGAUUCAACGCCGGA